Molecule: non-coding RNA, 53 nt
Organism: Salmo salar (Atlantic salmon)
Lineage: Eukaryota; Metazoa; Chordata; Actinopteri; Salmoniformes; Salmonidae
Source: Rfam
UAGGAGAGAGAAGUAAGUCGCUCUGGAUAAGAGCGUCUGCUAAAUGACUUAAA